GCAGGGUAGACAUUACGAAAAGAAAUACUUAGCUAUACCUAUACCAAAUAUAUGCUCACCAUAAUAAUAUAAUGUGCCACUAUUCUUUCCGAUACAAAAUGAUAUUUAUACAGUUUUAAACCUUUUCGGUCACUUGGUGAUUUCAUACGCACUAAGUCAAAUACCGUCAUUUUGGUAAGUCAAAUACCGUCAUUUUUUUUUUUUUUGAUAACUCUGGUAUCUGGGCAGCCACAUUCCCAACUAUCUCCCGAAAGGGGUCCAGCGCCCCAACGGAAAGGAUGUUAAAUCCGUUGUGGCCAAGACUCGAACCCGGGUGGCGGACAGUACAGUUGUACCUCCUUUACCACCAAGCUACGAGCGCUUGGUUAAAUACCGUCAUUUUGUUCCUUAAGAUAUAUAUGCAAGCCGAAAUACUUUACACUUCGGUGACAUGACACUUUUGAUCUUAAGAAUAUAUUCAAGAACAUCUCCAGGUUUGUUAACAUAGCUUUUUCAUAUAUAAUUUAGACUAAUAAGAAAUAUUUCC
This 526-nucleotide long non-coding RNA is filed under the name Brassica rapa (field mustard). Its description in RNAcentral is "long non-coding RNA (BRAP_LNC002170)". The record is from RNAcentral. Lineage: Eukaryota; Viridiplantae; Streptophyta; Magnoliopsida; Brassicales; Brassicaceae.